AAUGAACGCUGGCGGCAGGCCUAACACAUGCAAGUCGAACGGGUCCUUCGGGACUAGUGGCGGACGGGUGAGUAACGCGUGGGAACGUGCCCCUUGGUACGGAAUAGCCCCGGGAAACUGGGAGUAAUACCGUAUGUGGUCGAGAGACGAAAGAUUUAUCGCCAAGGGAUCGGCCCGCGUUGGAUUAGGUAGUUGGUGGGGUAAUGGCCUACCAAGCCGACGAUCCAUAGCUGGUCUGAGAGGAUGAUCAGCCACACUGGGACUGAGACACGGCCCAGACUCCUACGGGAGGCAGCAGUGGGGAAUCUUAGACAAUGGGCGCAAGCCUGAUCUAGCCAUGCCGCGUGAGCGAUGAAGGCCUUAGGGUUGUAAAGCUCUUUCAGUGGGGAAGAUAAUGACUGUACCCACAGAAGAAGCCCCGGCUAACUCCGUG
Molecule: ribosomal RNA, 433 nt
Filed under: uncultured bacterium
Lineage: Bacteria
Description: bacterial SSU rRNA
Rfam family: Bacterial small subunit ribosomal RNA
Source: RNAcentral